This 405-nucleotide ribosomal RNA is filed under the name uncultured bacterium. RNAcentral's name for it is "bacterial SSU rRNA". It matches the Rfam family "Bacterial small subunit ribosomal RNA", at positions 133 to 518 of the family's 1533-position model. The record is from RNAcentral.
UAAGAGGGGGAGUAACGAUCCGGAAACGGGUGCUAAUACCGCAUAGUUUUCUUGAUUGCAUGAUUGAGAAGGAAAGACGGCCUUUGUGCUGUCGCUUAUGGAUGGACCCGCGGCGUAUUAGUUAGUUGGUGAGGUAACGGCUCACCAAGACGAUGAUACGUAGCCGACCUGAGAGGGUGAUCGGCCACAUUGGGACUGAGACACGGCCCAAACUCCUACGGGAGGCAGCAGUAGGGAAUCUUCCGCAAUGGACGAAAGUCUGACGGAGCAACGCCGCGUGAGUGAAGAAAAGGUUUUUCGGAUCGUAAAACUCUGUUGUCAGAGAAGAACAAGUUGGAGAGUAACUGCUCCAGCCUUGACGGUAUCUGACCAGAAAGCCACGGCUAACUACGUGCCAGCAGCGGC